RNAcentral lists this ribosomal RNA (252 nucleotides) under uncultured bacterium. RNAcentral describes it as "partial 16S ribosomal RNA". It matches the Rfam family "Bacterial small subunit ribosomal RNA", at positions 524 to 776 of the family's 1533-position model. The record is from RNAcentral.
UACAGAGGGUGCGAGCGUUGUUCGGAAUUAUUGGGCGAAAGGGCGCGUAGGCGGUGCGGUAAGUCACCUGUGAAAUCUCCUGGCUCAACUGGGAGCUUGCAGGCGAAACUGCCGUGCUGGAGUGUGGGAGAGGUGCGUGGAAUUCCUGGUGUAGCGGUGAAAUGCGUAGAUAUCAGGAGGAACACCUGUGGCGAAAGCGGCGCACUGGACCACAACUGACGCUGAGGCGCGAAAGCUAGGGGAGCAAACAGG